Molecule: non-coding RNA, 2096 nt
Organism: Malus domestica (apple)
Lineage: Eukaryota; Viridiplantae; Streptophyta; Magnoliopsida; Rosales; Rosaceae
Source: RefSeq, a predicted model, not a curated record
CCCAGGGAAAUACUGCAUUUAAGGAAAAGCCUGAAAUAAUGUUGUCGAGUGCUAUACUGAAGCUAUCAGAUUGAACAUGAUGUGUGCAACUUAUGAUUGCAACCGUGCAACUGCUUACUUGGAGGACAGUUGGGUGGUUUGGCGUUAGUUGCUGUUAUCCAGAUUUUGUAUCUUUAUGUGGAAAUGAGUCGUAGCUGGUAGAUGAGAAACAGAGUAAGCAAAUUACGGAGAUACCUCCAGAAGAGUACAAAACGCCACCAGUAUGGAUUGACUUGGAAAUGACUGGUGAGGGUAAAAUAAAGUAUGUUCCUUCUACCCUUUUAUUAUUUGUGGAUAAAAUAAUUUAUGUUCCUAUCAUGGUUUCUUUUUAUUCUCCAAAAAUAGAUUUUUAAUAUGCUGUUUACUGAAAUUUCAGUCCUUGGAGUGAAGCUCCUUAUAAAGGAUGCUGCAGAGAGAACGGCAUGUGGGAAUUUACCUCUUAAUGCAUUUUUGUCUGAGUGGGGCCCUCAUGACACUGUUAAAUCCAAACCGAAGUUAAUUUGAUAUAUGUUGGAUACAAUGGCAGUUCUGCUUCAGCUAUCCAUGUAGGGCGCCCACGCUUCAAUGAUCGUGGAUUGCUUCAACUCUGUUUCCAUCCCCUUUUCUUUCCCUCUUUUCCUCUCCCGACUCUCUCUGCAACCAUCCGUCAAAUCCCCUCAUCCCUCCCUUUUCUCAGCGGUACAUUCCUAUUACGUUCCAACCGUUUCUACGAAAAAGCACUGUAAAUUCGUCAAAAAAUCUGAAACAAAUAGACACGUUUUGAGGAGGACAAAGUGAAAAAAAAAAUCAAGGUGAUUGGUGUGUAUGAUGAGUGCUUCAGAGGUUUUCUACGACCGGAGGUCUCGCUACAACAGCCGAAUCUCCACCGAUCUAGGGUUUGACUCCCUCCCUCCUCCUCCGACAGUUGCCCGAAGUCACAACCUUAAUCAUAGUCACCACCACCGCACCUACCUCCCGGUAAUUUCGUAAUUUGCAAUUCAAUUUGGUAAUUGAUUGAAUCGUGUGUUUGGGUUUAGGCUUAUCUUGCAUUUGGGUUUGUUUGCAGGAGCGGGCAGCUAUUGGGCUCAAGCAGGGUGGGAUCCACCAGGGUUCUAGAAAUAGGGUCGCCGGAAGCAGUGGCACUUUGAGCGAGAGCGAGAGACUUCCGGGGUCUGUCUGCUCGCCAGGGAAAGGCUGCUGAAGAGGCUGAAACGGAUGCCUCGGUUCUUCAAUUUGAUUCGAAUAAUUUUUUUACCCAGAAAAGCAGUGUUUCCUGCUCUCUCUCUCUCAUUUUUGAGGUACAUGCCAUUGGAUUCCGUUUGCUGCUGCUGAUCUGCAAUUGGAAAGUGGAAGCCCCAACUUUUGAGCUCAGAGCUUGAAUUUCUCAAUCGUUCGUUUCUCUGCACUCUCAUCAGUCAUUCUUGAUCCUCUCUCUGAAGAACUGGGUAAUUUUCCAGCUCUAUCAAGUAAUACUCCAUUUAAUUGCUUAAUUGAGGUUUUUUGUUUCUCUUUUUCUCUCUUUCAUUAGUUAAUUGGCUUUGAUGUUGGGCUUAAGUAAAUGGGAAAUCAUUAAUUGGCAUUGUCAAGAUAUAAUUAUGUGUUUUUGGAUUUGUGAAACGAUUUGGCUAAUGAAGAUAGUGGUUAAGAUAAAUUUUUCAUUACGAAAGAGAACAUUGUUCUUCAUUUGCCCACGGUUUUUACUACAAAGUUAAAACUACUGUGUUUUUGUUCAAUUGACUGCAACUCAUGCUGCAGUUUGCUUCAUAAACCUCUACGGUUAGCUUUCAUACAGUAUGUUGCAAGUUUGAGGAUAUCUCUUCAUCUUAAUUUAUGCUCUCUCUGGUUGCUUCAAGUUUGUAAUUUUACGUGCUACACUGCCACUUGAUUUGAUUAUAAAAAUGUAAAACAAAAUCCGUCCAUGAUUUACAAAUUUGUAUUCGAUUGUUGAUGUUUUUCCAAUGUAAGGCAUAUGUUGCACAAGUGUUGUUUGUGCUGCAGGGCAUAUAUUUUGCCGUCUUAACUGCCUACAAUGCAUGACACAUAUUAUAUGUGAACUAAAUGUUUCUUCUGUUUCUUAA